GGCUUAGUUUGUUCAUACAACUCGACGAUGGAUUUUGUUUUCAGUGGCGGUGUUGAAGAAUCUUCAAUAGUAUGUUGGUGACUUGAAUCAGUGGCCUUGUUGCUUUUCGAAGCAACAAUGGUGAUCAUGUUCCUCCUAGUUGCCAUUGAAAGUUUGUUGAAAAUUCUUUCUUGAAGGGAAGAGAUGAGAGGUAGAGAUGUCCCCAGUGGAGUCGCCAGAAAUUUGUAGACACAAUUUUGAGCACCUGAAAUUAAACAAGCACACGUGUACAAAUAUAUGAUUUUAUUAAUAUAUGAAUGGGUACAAUCUCUAUGUAAUAUAUUCUUUCAAAAGAAUAUGACAAUCCUCUGAUUCUUCCCUUGGAUUUGAUGGAUGGUGACUUGAUUUAUUUGAGUAAUCAAGCCAAGAUUUGUGCUUUGCAAGAACGCGAAUUUGGGCGUGUAUUGCGAAGCAAGAUUUGAUGAUUUGAUGCUUUGAAGAGUACCUUUGAUUUGUCUUCAAAGUGUUAUUGAAGAACUCUUAUGGGGCGUUUUGGCUUGAUCCAACAGAGCUUCGUUCUUUGUAGGCUUCAAGUGUAGAUGAAGGAGGCUUGAGAACUCUUUGAGAGAGAGGGCUUCCUUGCUUGAAGAGAGAGAGAGAGAGAGCUUCCUUGCUUGAAGAGUUUGUCUUGAAGAAAAUUUGUAUCUCCCGGAAUCCUUUUUCUUUAGGUUGAGGCCCUCUAUUUAUAGAGAUAUGUAGGGGCUCUCAGGUCCUUUUUCAAUGCCACAUGACAUAAUUUUAUUGGUUGAUAUUUAUUGACAUGAUCUUGUAUUUAUGAAAAGAUAUAUGAUGGGAUCUUGAAUUUAUGACAAGAUAUCUUGAAUAUCUUAUCCCAAGUGUCAACUUUUUAUUGGCCAAGAAAUAUAUGAAGGCUCAUUUAUUUUCCAUGUCA
Molecule: long non-coding RNA, 931 nt
Organism: Populus euphratica (Euphrates poplar)
Lineage: Eukaryota; Viridiplantae; Streptophyta; Magnoliopsida; Malpighiales; Salicaceae
Exons: 2
Source: RefSeq, a predicted model, not a curated record